UCGGAUUAGCUAGUUGGUGAGGUAAUGGCUCACCAAGGCUACGAUCCGUAACUGGUCUGAGAGGAUGAUCCAGUCACACUGGAACUGAGACACGGUCCAGACUCCUACGGGAGGCAGCAGUGGGGAAUAUUGGACAAUGGGCGAAAGCCUGAUCCAGCCAUGCCGCGUGUGUGAAGAAGGUCUUCGGAUUGUAAAGCACUUUAAGUUGGGAGGAAGGGCAUAACCUAAUACGUUAGUGUUUGACGUACCGACAGA
Molecule: ribosomal RNA, 255 nt
Filed under: uncultured bacterium
Lineage: Bacteria
Description: partial 16S ribosomal RNA
Rfam family: Bacterial small subunit ribosomal RNA
Source: RNAcentral